This 253-nucleotide ribosomal RNA is filed under the name uncultured bacterium. RNAcentral describes it as "partial 16S ribosomal RNA". It matches the Rfam family "Bacterial small subunit ribosomal RNA", at positions 524 to 776 of the family's 1533-position model. The record is from RNAcentral.
UACGUAGGUGGCAAGCGUUACUCGGAAUCACUAGGCGUAAAGCGCAGGUAGGCGGUUUGAUAAGUCUGUUGUGAAAGCUCCCGGCUCAACUGGGAGAGGCCAACGGAAACUGUCAGGCUAGAGUGUGGUAGAGGAGACUGGAAUUCCUGGUGUAGCGGUGAAAUGCGUAGAUAUCAGGAGGAACACCUAUGGCGAAAGCAGGUCUCUGGGCCAUCACUGACGCUGAGCUGCGAAAGCUAGGGGAGCAAACAGG